RNAcentral lists this ribosomal RNA (824 nucleotides) under Halomonas sp. Its description in RNAcentral is "bacterial SSU rRNA". It matches the Rfam family "Bacterial small subunit ribosomal RNA", at positions 643 to 1466 of the family's 1533-position model. Lineage: Bacteria; Pseudomonadati; Pseudomonadota; Gammaproteobacteria; Oceanospirillales; Halomonadaceae. The record is from RNAcentral.
AGAGUGCAGGAGAGGAAGNUAGAUUUCCCGGUGUAGCGGUGAANUGNGUAGAGAUCGGGAGGAAUACCAGUGGNGANGGCGNCUUUUUGGACUGACACUGACAUUGAGGUGCGAAAGCGUGGNUAGCAACCAGGAUUAGAUACCCUGNUAGUCCACNCCGUAAACGAUGUCAACUAGCCGUUGGGUCCCUUGAGGANUUAGUGGCGCAGCUAACGCAAUAAGUUGACCGCCUGGGGAGUACGGCCGCAAGGUUAAAACUCAAAUGAAUUGACGGGGGCCCGCACAAGCGGUGGAGCAUGUGGUUUAAUUCGAUGCAACGCGAAGAACCUUACCUACCCUUGACAUCCAGAGGACUUUCCAGAGAUGGAUUGGUGCCUUCGGGAACUCUGAGACAGGUGCUGCAUGGCUGUCGUCAGCUCGUGUUGUGAAAUGUUGGGUUAAGUCCCGUAACGAGCGCAACCCCUAUCCUUAUUUGCCAGCGAGUAAUGUCGGGAACUCUAAGGAGACUGCCGGUGACAAACCGGAGGAAGGUGGGGACGACGUCAAGUCAUCAUGGCCCUUACGGGUAGGGCUACACACGUGCUACAAUGGCAAGUACAAAGGGUUGCAAUACGGCGACGUGGAGCCAAUCCCAUAAAGCUUGCCUCAGUCCGGAUUGGAGUCUGCAACUCGACUCCAUGAAGUCGGAAUCGCUAGUAAUCGUGGAUCAGAAUGCCACGGUGAAUACGUUCCCGGGCCUUGUACACACCGCCCGUCACACCAUGGGAGUGGACUGCACCAGAAGUGGUUAGCCUAACCUUCGGGAGGGCGAUCAUUCNCGUUNU